This 80-nucleotide transfer RNA is filed under the name Burkholderia lata. RNAcentral's name for it is "tRNA-Arg". Lineage: Bacteria; Pseudomonadati; Pseudomonadota; Betaproteobacteria; Burkholderiales; Burkholderiaceae. The record is from RNAcentral.
CGCGAGCUGGCCGACGGUGCGGCCGCGCUCGCCUUCGACGCGGGCGCGCGGCAGGCCCGUUUCGACGACGCAGCGCUCGA